This 345-nucleotide ribosomal RNA is filed under the name Triticum aestivum (bread wheat). RNAcentral describes it as "partial small subunit ribosomal RNA". Lineage: Eukaryota; Viridiplantae; Streptophyta; Magnoliopsida; Poales; Poaceae. The record is from RNAcentral.
AUGGUUGAGAUUAGUGAACUGCACUAUUAUUUUUUAUUUUUUUCUUCUCACCUUUUUAUGAAUACAUCCUGGCUGCUGAGACAAAGCAGGUGUACUACAUCAAUGGUUUUCUAUAGAUUGAACCAUAAGCACUUCCUGCGCACACGGACCGGACUGCAAGUGCACCACCAGGAAAUUGGAACGAUAUCGUACAUAUACAUGUAUAUACUCCCAUCGCACAACAAAACGAGUGACGUUUCUCAGAAGAUAACCGCAUUGCAAGAUUACAAAUCACUGGACGUCUCCCUGAAGAAAACUGCACCGCCAGACUACAAACUAAAGAAAACUAAAAAGAAAGAAUUGUAG